This 472-nucleotide ribosomal RNA is filed under the name uncultured bacterium. RNAcentral's name for it is "SSU rRNA". It matches the Rfam family "Bacterial small subunit ribosomal RNA", at positions 26 to 518 of the family's 1533-position model. The record is from RNAcentral.
AGGACGAACGCUGGCGGCGUGCUUAACACAUGCAAGUCGAGCGGAAAGGCCCUUCGGGGUACUCGAGCGGCGAACGGGUGAGUAACACGUGAGUAAUCUGCCCCUAGCUCUGGGAUAGCUCCGGGAAACCGGGAUUAAUACCAGAUACGACCACUUUAGACAUCUGCUGUGGUGGAAAGAAUUUCGGCUAGGGAUGAGCUCGCGGCCUAUCAGCUUGUUGGUGAGGUAACGGCUCACCAAGGCGACGACGGGUAGCCGGCCUGAGAGGGCGACCGGCCACACUGGGACUGAGACACGGCCCAGACUCCUACGGGAGGCAGCAGUGGGGAAUAUUGCGCAAUGGGCGAAAGCCUGACGCAGCGACGCCGCGUGGGGGAUGAAGGCCUCGGUUGUAAACCCCUUUCAGCAGGGACGAAGCGAAAGUGACGGUACCUGCAGAAGAAGCGCCGGCUAACUACGUGCCAGCAGCCGC